GCGCGUGUCCUUCGCGAUGAAUCAGGGUGGAGCUCGGCGACGGCUGUCGCUGGAGACGGUCCUUGCUCAUCUGGAACCCUCAGAGACUGUACGCCAGACACCUCGCACGAGGUGAAGAUACAGUCCGAGCUUUCAGGCGACUGAAAGAGGCAGGCAGAAAUGACCUGCCCCCUCCCCUUCCAGGAGGAGUAACAACACUGUCGGUCCCUAUCCACCGCGGGCGCAGGAGACUUGAGGGGAGCUGCUCCUAGUACGAGAGGACCGGAGUGGACGGACCUCUGGUGUACCGGUUGUCCUGCCAAGGGCACGCGCCGGGUAGCCAUGUCCGGACGGGAUAAGCGCUGAAAGCAUCUAAGCGCGAAGCCCACCCCAAGACGAGGUCUCCCACCGGGUCAACCGGGUAAGCCCCCUGGGAGAUGACCAGGUUGAUAGGCCGGGGGUGUAAGCGCUGAGAGGCGUUGAGCCUACCGGUACUAAUCGGGCGAGGGCUUGAGCCC
RNAcentral lists this ribosomal RNA (497 nucleotides) under Pseudomonadota bacterium. RNAcentral's name for it is "partial 23S ribosomal RNA". It matches the Rfam family "Bacterial large subunit ribosomal RNA", at positions 2572 to 2925 of the family's 2925-position model. RNAcentral also lists the same sequence under 1 other name. Lineage: Bacteria; Pseudomonadati; Pseudomonadota. The record is from RNAcentral.